Molecule: long non-coding RNA, 986 nt
Filed under: Homo sapiens (human)
Lineage: Eukaryota; Metazoa; Chordata; Mammalia; Primates; Hominidae
Description: HSALNT0354591
Source: RNAcentral
AGGCCUAAGACACCAUUCAUGAAAGUGGUAAAGCUAACAUGUUUUCUUUGCCAUCAUUUACUGUCCAGCACCUAUGUUCCAAACAUAGAUUCCCCACAUUCCCGGGAAGCCAGUAUUACUAUCCUCCUUCUUGUUUGUCCUACAGAUAAACAGCCUGGGCUCAGAGGUAAUAAAUAAGGUGCCAAGGCCACACCUGUUCGGAGUGGAUGUUGAAGUCUGUGUUACUUCAGUUCUAUCUCCUAUUCCCAGUCCAUUCUGCAGAUGAGAAAACUGAGACCCACACAGUGUACAUGCUGAUCUUAAUGAGAAUGAUGACAAUAACGGGAGGAAAAAAAUGAGCAGAAACUGCUAACAUCUGGAGGCUGCUGUCCAGUUUACGUAAUCUCUUGCUGCAGAGGAGGAACACGGGAUCCCCAGCCAGAUGGUCCGUGGGUGACUUCACAGCACAUGUGCUACCUCCAAGACAGGGUUCUCUGAGGAACAAGGACCUUCCAGAGUGAUGCUUUUCCCUAGUGGCAGCCUUGGCCAGGGCAACAGACAUCUGCACAAACGCAGGGUGUUGAAGCAGCUGUUCUGAGAUGCAGUGCCUGAGAAUCUGGGAUCCACAAUGUGAACUUCUCAACAACCCCUGCACCUGCCACUUCCCUGAAUCUUCCACUAAGCACCAGAAGACACAUGCAUUUUAAAUCAAAGGAAUGGCUCCCAUGCAGAAACCAGAGUGUUAAAAUGGAUCCCUCCCACCCUGAACUCUGACUGGUUUGGUUCACCUCAAAGACCAUCCUCCUGCUAUAUGGUUUCGAUAAGUCUAAAAAGAUGAGCCAUUCAAGCCACAGUGUCUUCUAUCUCCAAGCUGGUGAGACACACUGCAGUCCUCUACAGAACAGAAGAGAGACAGUGCACAAGAUUGCUCUUGGGUAAGUUUUCUUUUUCUUAUGUAAUGAAUGGGUUACUCUUCAGCCCUUAGAAUAAAAAUACUAUAAUAACUU